RNAcentral lists this ribosomal RNA (1244 nucleotides) under Staphylococcus sp. ICRI16. RNAcentral's name for it is "partial 16S ribosomal RNA". It matches the Rfam family "Bacterial small subunit ribosomal RNA", at positions 197 to 1413 of the family's 1533-position model. The record is from RNAcentral. Lineage: Bacteria; Bacillati; Bacillota; Bacilli; Caryophanales; Staphylococcaceae.
UGAAAGAAUGGUUUUUGCUUCCACUUAUAGAAGGGACCCCCGCGCCCUAUUAAGCUAGUUGGGAAGGGUACCGGCCUUCCCAAGGCCGACGAUACGUACCCCCCCUGAGAGGGGGUUCGCCCCCCCCGGGAAAUUGAGACCCGGGUCCAGACUCCUUCGGGGGGGCAGCAGUGGGGAAUCUUCCCCAAUGGGGGAAAUCCUGACGAGAGCAACCCCCCGUGAGUGAGGAAGGUCUUCGGGUUCGUAAAACUCUGUUUUUAGGGAAGACCAUGCGGGUAAGUAAAUAUUCAUGUCUUGACGGUAUCUAAUCAGAAAGCCACGGCUAACUACGUGCCAGCAGCCGCGGUAAUACGUAGGUGGCAAGCGUUAUCCGGAAUUAUUGGGCGUAAAGCGCGCGUAGGCGGUUUUUUAAGUCUGAUGUGAAAGCCCCCGGCUCAACCGUGGAGGGUCAUUGGAAACUGGAAAACUUGAGUGCAGAAGAGGAAAGUGGAAUUCCAUGUGUAGCGGUGAAAUGCGCAGAGAUAUGGAGGAACACCAGUGGCGAAGGCGACUUUCUGGUCUGUAACUGACGCUGAUGUGCGAAAGCGUGGGGAUCAAACAGUKAUUAGAUACCCUGGUAGUCCACGCCGUAAACGAUGARUGMWAAGUGUUAGRGGGUUUCCGCCCCUYAGUGCUGCAGCUAACGCAUUAAGCACUCCGCYUGGGGAGUACGACCGCAAGGUUGAAACUCAAAGGAAUUGACGGGGGCCCGCACAAGCGGUGGAGCAUGUGGUUUAAUUCGAAGCAACGCGAAGAACCUUACCAAAUCUUGACAUCCUUUGACAACUCUAGAGAUAGAGCCUUCCCCUUCGGGGGACAAAGUGACAGGUGGUGCAUGGGUGUCCUCAUCUCGUGUCGUGAGAUGUUGUGUUAAGUCCCGCAACGAGCGCAACCCUUAAGCUUAUUUGCCAUCUUUAAGUUGGGCACUCUAAGUUGACUGCCGGAGACAAACCGGAAGAAGGUGGGGAUGACGUCAAAUCAUCGUGCCCCAUAUGAUUUGGGCUACACACGUGCUACAGUGGACAAUACAAAGGGCAGCGAAACCGCGAGGUCAAGCAAAUCCCAUAGAGUUGUUUCUCAGUUCGGAUUGUAGUCUGCAACUCCACUACUUGAAGCUGGAAUCGCUAGUAAUCGUAAAUCAACAUGCUACGGGUAAAUACGUUCCCGGGUCUUUGUACACACCGCCCGUCACACCCACGAAGAGU